GAUGAAGAACGUAGCGAAAUGCGAUAAGUAGUGUGAAUUGCAGAAUUCAGUGAAUCAUCGAAUCUUUGAACGCACAUUGCGCCCUAUGGUAUUCCGUAGGGCAUGCCUGUUCGAGCGUCAUUCAAACCUUCAAGCUCUGCUUGGUGUUGGGCGUCUGUCCUGCCUCACGGCGCGGACUCGCCUCAAAUUUAUUGGCGGCCGGCACGUUGGCUUCGAGCGCAGCAGAAACGCGAACUCGAGACCGGCGGAUCGGCUCCCAGAAGCUACCCCCAUGAAUUUGACCUCGGAUCAGGUAGGGAUACCCGCUGAACUUAAGCAUAUCAAUAAGCGGAGGA
RNAcentral lists this unclassified non-coding RNA (335 nucleotides) under soil metagenome. Its description in RNAcentral is "partial contains 5.8S ribosomal RNA, internal transcribed spacer 2, and large subunit ribosomal RNA". The stretch from base 1 to 120 matches the Rfam family "5.8S ribosomal RNA", at positions 35 to 154 of the family's 154-position model. The record is from RNAcentral.